CGAGGGCUUCACCGCCUAUCAAGUCUUGACAAACUCCGAAUACUAUCACUUGAUCUUCGGGAGUGAGGGCAUGGGUGCUAAGGUCCAUGUCCGAAAGAGGAACAACUCAGACCACCAGCUAAGGUCCCGAAAUAAGGGCUAAGUUGAACAAACGAAGUAAAACUGCAAAGACAGCUAGGAUGUUGGCUUGGAAGCAGCCAUUCAUUUAAAGAGUGCGUAACAGCUCACUAGUCGAGGAGUUUUGCAUGGAUAAUAAUCGGGCAUAAGCCCUUUACCGAAGCUGUGGAUGUCGUAAGACAUGGUAGGGGAGCAUUCCGGCGGCGACGAAGGCCGUCCUCGAGGACGACUGGAGCUUUCGGAAAAGCAAAUGUAGGUAUAAGUAACGAUAAAGGGGGCGUGAAACCCCCUCGCCAUAAGACUAAGGAUUCCUGAUCAACGCUAAUCGGAUCAGGGUAAGUCGGGCCCUAAGGCGCAGCCGAACGGCGUAGCCGAUGGAAGAAACGGUAAAGAUUCCGUUACUGGAUAUAGGAGCGAUGUGGAGACGGAGAAGUGACACACCCGCCUGCCGACGGAAGCGCAGGUUAAAGGAAGUAGGUAAACGCCGGGUAGGCAAAUCCGCCUGGCGUGCCGAAGCUGACAGUAUCGAGAGCCCCCGGGCAAUCGAAUAGCGGUGGUAAUCAGGCUCCCAAGAAAAUCCGCUAAGCAAAUUCUAUAUCCACCCGUACCCCAAACGGACACACGUAGUCGGGUAGAAUAUACCAAGGCGCUCGAAAGACUCACGGUUAAGGAACUAGGCAAAUUGACCCUGUAACCUCGGGAAAAAGGGUCCCCAGUAAGAUGGGGCGCAGAGAAUAGGUCCAGGCAACUGUUUAACAAAAACACAGGGCUGUGCAAAAUUUCAAGAUGAAGUAUACAGCCUGACACCUGCCCGGUGCCGGAAGGUUAAGAGGAGAGCUAAUCGCAAGAGAAGGCUUGAAUUGAAGCCCCGGUAAACGGCGGCCGUAACUAUAACGGUCCUAAGGUAGCGAAAUUCCUUGUCGGGUAAGUUCCGACCUGCACGAAUGGUGUAAUGAUCUGGACACUGUCUCAACCGUGACUUCGGUGAAAUUGUAGUAUCGGUGAAGAUGCCGAUUACCCGCAACGGGACGAAAAGACCCCGUGAACCUUUACUGCAACUUAGCAUUGCGUUUGGGCAUUUGAUGUGUAGGAUAGUCCGGAGGCUACGUGAAGCAGGCGACGCCAGUAGUCGGGGAGCCGCUGUUGAAAUACGGACCUUCGAAUGUUUGAGCGCUAACUCGCAGGAGCGAGGACACUGUUUGGUGGGUAGUUUGACUGGGGUGGUCG
Molecule: ribosomal RNA, 1344 nt
Filed under: human gut metagenome
Description: bacterial LSU rRNA
Rfam family: Bacterial large subunit ribosomal RNA
Source: RNAcentral